This 97-nucleotide microRNA precursor is filed under the name Pan troglodytes (chimpanzee). RNAcentral's name for it is "microRNA ptr-mir-518g precursor". Its record names the gene ptr-mir-518g. The stretch from base 8 to 94 matches the Rfam family "mir-515 microRNA precursor family". The record is from miRBase by way of RNAcentral. Lineage: Eukaryota; Metazoa; Chordata; Mammalia; Primates; Hominidae.
AAGAAGAUCUCGUGCUGUGACUCUGCAAAGGGAAGCCCUUUCUGUUGUCUAAAAGAAUAGAAAGCGCUUCCCUUUGGAGUGUUACGGUUUGAGAAAA